AAAUUGAAGAGUUUGAUCAUGGCUCAGAUUGAACGCUGGCGGCAGGCCUAACACAUGCAAGUCGAACGGUAACAGGAAGCAGCUUGCUGUUUUGCUGACGAGUGGCGGACGGGUGAGUAAUGUCUGGGAAACUGCCUGAUGGAGGGGGAUAACUACUGGAAACGGUAGCUAAUACCGCAUAAUGUCGCAAGACCAAAGAGGGGGACCUUCGGGCCUCUUGCCAUCGGAUGUGCCCAGAUGGGAUUAGCUGGUAGGUGGGGUAAAGGCUCACCUAGGCGACGAUCCCUAGCUGGUCUGAGAGGAUGACCAGCCACACUGGAACUGAGACACGGUCCAGACUCCUACGGGAGGCAGCAGUGGGGAAUAUUGCACAAUGGGCGCAAGCCUGAUGCAGCCAUGCCGCGUGUAUGAAGAAGGCCUUCGGGUUGUAAAGUACUUUCAGCGGGGAGGAAGGGAGUAAAGUUAAUACCUUUGCUCAUUGACGUUACCCGCAGAAGAAGCACCGGCUAACUCCGUGCCAGCAGCCGCGGUAAUACGGAGGGUGCAAGCGUUAAUCGGAAUUACUGGGCGUAAAGCGCACGCAGGCGGUUUGUUAAGUCAGAUGUGAAAUCCCCGGGCUCAACCUGGGAACUGCAUCUGAUACUGGCAAGCUUGAGUCUCGUAGAGGGGGGUAGAAUUCCAGGUGUAGCGGUGAAAUGCGUAGAGAUCUGGAGGAAUACCGGUGGCGAAGGCGGCCCCCUGGACGAAGACUGACGCUCAGGUGCGAAAGCGUGGGGAGCAAACAGGAUUAGAUACCCUGGUAGUCCACGCCGUAAACGAUGUCGACUUGGAGGUUGUGCCCUUGAGGCGUGGCUUCCGGAGCUAACGCGUUAAGUCGACCGCCUGGGGAGUACGGCCGCAAGGUUAAAACUCAAAUGAAUUGACGGGGGCCCGCACAAGCGGUGGAGCAUGUGGUUUAAUUCGAUGCAACGCGAAGAACCUUACCUGGUCUUGACAUCCACGGAAGUUUUCAGAGAUGAGAAUGUGCCUUCGGGAACCGUGAGACAGGUGCUGCAUGGCUGUCGUCAGCUCGUGUUGUGAAAUGUUGGGUUAAGUCCCGCAACGAGCGCAACCCUUAUCCUUUGUUGCCAGCGGUCCGGCCGGGAACUCAAAGGAGACUGCCAGUGAUAAACUGGAGGAAGGUGGGGAUGACGUCAAGUCAUCAUGGCCCUUACGACCAGGGCUACACACGUGCUACAAUGGCGCAUACAAAGAGAAGCGACCUCGCGAGAGCAAGCGGACCUCAUAAAGUGCGUCGUAGUCCGGAUUGGAGUCUGCAACUCGACUCCAUGAAGUCGGAAUCGCUAGUAAUCGUGGAUCAGAAUGCCACGGUGAAUACGUUCCCGGGCCUUGUACACACCGCCCGUCACACCAUGGGAGUGGGUUGCAAAAGAAGUAGGUAGCUUAACCUUCGGGAGGGCGCUUACCACUUUGUGAUUCAUGACUGGGGUGAAGUCGUAACAAGGUAACCGUAGGGGAACCUGCGGUUGGAUCACCUCCUUA
Molecule: ribosomal RNA, 1542 nt
Filed under: Escherichia coli
Lineage: Bacteria; Pseudomonadati; Pseudomonadota; Gammaproteobacteria; Enterobacterales; Enterobacteriaceae
Description: bacterial SSU rRNA
Rfam family: Bacterial small subunit ribosomal RNA
Source: RNAcentral